GAUGAACGCUGGCGGCGUGCUUAACACAUGCAAGUCGAACGAUGAACCUCACUUGUGGGGGAUUAGUGGCGAACGGGUGAGUAACACGUGAGUAACCUGCCCUUGACUCUGGGAUAAGCCUGGGAAACUGGGUCUAAAUCCGGAUAUGACUCCUCAUCGCAUGGGUGGGGGUGGAAAGCGUUUUGUGGUUUUGGAUGGACUCGCGGCCUAUCAGCUUGUUGGUGAGGUAAUGGCCGA
Molecule: ribosomal RNA, 237 nt
Filed under: uncultured bacterium
Lineage: Bacteria
Description: partial 16S ribosomal RNA
Rfam family: Bacterial small subunit ribosomal RNA
Source: RNAcentral